AGUGGAUGGGGAGCAACCUAGUUGUGCGUGUGUAAAGGUAGUGCCAAGAAAAGCGAUGAUCAUGUUGAAAAUCAAUUCCCGGUACCCGAAACCGACACAGGUGGGCAAGUAGAGAAUACUAAGGGGCGCGAGGUAACUCUCUCCAAGGAACUCGGCAAAAUGACCCCGUAACUUAGGGAGAAGGGGUGCCACCGAGAGGUGGUCGCAGUGAAGAGGCCCAGGCGACUGUUUAGCAAAAACAUAGGUCUCUGCAAACUCGAAAGAGGAGGUAUAGGGGCUGACGCCUGCCCAGUGCCGGAAGGUUAAAGAAGUUGGUCAGUUUUAGGAUGAAGCUAGCGACUGAAGCCCCGGUGAACGGCGGCCGUAACUAUAACGGUCCUAAGGUAGCGAAAUUCCUUGUCGGGUAAGUUCCGACCCGCACGAAAGGCGUAACGAUCUGGGCGCUGUCUCGGAGAGAGGCUCGGCGAAAUAGGAUUGUCUGUGAAGAUACGGACUACCUGCAUUUGGACAGAAAGACCCUAUGAAGCUUUACUAUAGCUUGGAAUUGUGUUCGGGCUUCCUGUGCGCAGGAUAGGUGGGAGGCGUAGAAGGUAUUCUUGUGGGGAUACUGGAGCCAACGGUGAGAUACCACUCUCAGGAGGCUAGAAUUCUAACUUAAUUAAGGACAGUUUCAGGUGGGUAGUUUGACUGGGGCGGUCGCCUCCAAAAAGGUAACGGAGGCGUAUAAAGGUUCCCUCAGACUGGUUGGAAAUCAGUCGAAGAGUGCAAAGGCAGAAGGGAGCUUGACUGCGAGAAGUACAGUUCGAGCAGGGUGGAAACACGGUCUUAGUGAUCCGACGGUGCUGUGUGGAAGGGCCGUCGCUCAACGGAUAAAAGUUACUCUAGGAUAACAGGCUGAUCUCCCCCAAGAGUUCACAUCGACGGGGAGGUUUGGCACCUCGAUGUCGGCUCAUCGCAACCUGGGGCGGAAGUACGUCCCAAGGGUUGGGCUGUUCGCCCAUUAAAGCGGUACGUGAGCUGGGUUCAGAACGUCGUGAGACAGUUCGGUCCAUAUCCGAUGUAGGCGUGAGAAUAUUGAGAGGAGCCUUCCUUAGUACGAGAGGACCGGGAAGGACGCACCGCUGGUGUACCUGUUAUGAUGCCAAUUGUAAACGCAGGGUAGCCAAGUGCGGAGAGGAUAACCGCUGAAAGCAUCUAAGUGGGAAGCCCACCUCAAGAUGAGUAUUCUGGUGUAAGGUCACGGGAAGACGACCCGUAAAUAGGCACGAGGUGGAAGUGCAGAGAUGUAUGAAGCCGAAGUGUACUAAUAGACCGUCGGCUUGACC
RNAcentral lists this ribosomal RNA (1325 nucleotides) under metagenome. RNAcentral's name for it is "bacterial LSU rRNA". It matches the Rfam family "Bacterial large subunit ribosomal RNA", at positions 1561 to 2925 of the family's 2925-position model. The record is from RNAcentral.